CACGGGUGCGUAACGCGUAUGCAACCUGCCUGUAAUUAGGGAAUAACCCGGUGAAAGUCGGACUAAUACCCUAUAUUCUUCUUUCUCCGCAUGGGGGAGGACGGAAAGAUUUAUUGAUUACAGAUGGGCAUGCGUCCCAUUAGCUGGUUGGUAAGGUAACGGCUUACCAAGGCAACGAUGGGUAGGGGGACUGAGAGGUUGACCCCCCACACUGGUACUGAGACACGGACCAGACUUCUACGGGAGGCAGCAGUGAGGAAUAUUGGUCAAUGGGCGAGAGCCUGAACCAGCCAAGUCGCGUGAAGGACGACGGUUCUAUGGAUUGUAAACUUCUUUUGUAGAGGAAUAAUGGCAGCUACGUGUAGCUGAGAUGCAUUACUCACGAAU
This 387-nucleotide ribosomal RNA is filed under the name Porphyromonas endodontalis. RNAcentral describes it as "bacterial SSU rRNA". It matches the Rfam family "Bacterial small subunit ribosomal RNA", at positions 100 to 487 of the family's 1533-position model. The record is from RNAcentral. Lineage: Bacteria; Pseudomonadati; Bacteroidota; Bacteroidia; Bacteroidales; Porphyromonadaceae.